UACUUGGGUGUUCCUGAAUACUUUUAAUUCCCCAACUACUAAAAAAUCUCGUUACUAGGAGUUGGGUUAUGCAGCGAAACGGAUGAACAAUGGAUUAUAACUGCCAGAAAGUCGAGGGUCUCAUACUAGCAACAGCAUAAAGCCCUGCUUCUUAUUGGGAGCAAAAAAGCAGAUUCUCCUUCCACAGUCUCCUUUUGGAUUUUGCAACGGAGAACUCUGUGGAGCUGCUGGUUCACGUAAAAGAUCAGGAUCCCUCUCGUUGCCAGAGGACACAGAAGAGUAGGAAGCUUUUGUUUUCAGAAAGAAGGUCCUCAACCCCACCUCUUCGAAGGUGUUUCCCCGAAUUUCUCGAGGACAAAGAAUCUGGACUCCUUUGAGAGUAAAGUUUCCUUUCCACUCCCUGAAGAGCGGGGAAAACUUCCGUCUUUAGUCUCCUUCCGGUUAAACUGACAAGUAUCACAAUCCUUUCUCCCCUAUCUUCGGGCGGUUCCGGCUGGGAACAAUACCCUCAGGGUCAGGAGGACAGGAUCUGAGUGCAGGCCAGCCAAAAAGGUGGGAACAGAUGCUCCUUCCAACACCUAAAUGCUUUUUUAAACGGUCACCUGGAUGUGCAGCCAGGGCCAACUAUCCCUCAGCUCCUCCCUGUCACAGGUGCGCGCUGCCCACAGAUUGCCACGACUGGGGGGCUCCCUACCAGUCGCAGCCCACCCUCGCCUCAGGUCUUCUCUCGCGUCCCCGGGCGGCCGCCUGCGCUAACGACCACAUGAAAACGUCUCAGCACCCAACACCAUCUCUCUAUUUCAUCUCCAUCAGCGAUGGAGAGAACGGAUUUUGCCGCGGCUGGGCUGCACAGCAGCGCCGCGGUCCACAGCAGAGCCCGCGACCGCCAUCUUAGGCAGUUCCAGGAAGCGGCCAUUUCAGAGCGCACCGCUUAGCCGCGGCGGCGGCUCUGCUUCUCACCUUCACCGAGGCCUGAACAGGGUCAACAGCCAGUCGUCGUGGACUGGAGGGGGAGGGGAGAGAGGGAGGGGAAUGAAAAACAAAACAGAGAGGAAAGAAGGAUUCGGGGACAGGGUGAUGCUCUCAGCUCAGGGAUAUCGCCUAGGCCAUCUCCAUAGAGAUCCGAUUCGCGGCUGGCGCGGUCGCCGGUCUGAAGAUAAAUUUAGCACUCUAGAGCACCCGAACCCUACAAUCUUCACGAGCGACUCUGCCGCCGCCCAAUCAGCGCCAGAUUUGCGUCCCGCCACCAAUCCGCGCUGAGCAGCGGGGCGGGACCAAAGGAAAGGACCAAGCUCGGUUGAGGCGCGGCCCAGCCGCAGCCGCAGUCACAGCCUCAGCCGCAGCGGCCGUGCUACCUAGGUGAUAGCGGAGCGGCUGGGUAGGAAGCAAUUGUUCUCAAACUUCACUAGCCCCGUCGGCGCGGACGCUUGUCGAGAAUGCAGAUUCCUGGGUACUGCCAGAUACGAAUUGAGCAUACCACAAAAAAGUUCUCAUUUUGUGUCCUCCCAUCCCAUUCUCCUCACUAACCAAAGGCUAGGAAUUAUCUGUGAAUGUAGGACCACUGGAUUUGCAGUCUUCAUCUGACACUGUGGAGAGUUUCUAGGAAUGAAACAGAUAUAUGGCCUUGGGUCCCCUUUUUUUUUCUUUUUUUUUUUUUUAAUAGAGACGAGCAUCUCACUAUGUUGCCUAGGGUAGUCUUGAACUCCUGGCCUCAAGCAAUCCCCACCCGACUCCGCCUCUCGAAGUGAUGGGAUUACAGGCAUAAACCACCACGCCUGGCCAGAAGGUGCUUUAACACCAAAUCUGAAAAUUGUUCAGAAGAGAAACAUUGAGCAUGAACACCAUCUGUGCGAGUCAUUUACUUAUUGCCCCUCACCUCUAAAUCUACCUUCUGUACUCUUCUUCCCUGUAAUGAUGGGGCUAGUUGUCCUCAAACUGUUUCUCAGACUUCUUUUUAAGCUUGCUUCCUGUUCAGUUCUGCCAAUAGGGGUCACUAGAGAGAGACUGGGAGGCAGAAGGAGAGAAUAUGCUUCCUGUUUUUUCUGUUCUUGUUAAUGUUGCUUACAGGACCAGCAAUGCUUCUUCACCUAGAGACACUUCUCCCAGCAGUGGCAGUGCCACUUCAGCUUCUUUCAGCACUACUGGAAUCAGCCUCAGUGAUUCCCCCUGUACCCGCUCAGAGAUUAUCCACAGCAGCCAGAUGGUUCUACCUUCCACAAAGAUUGUGGUUGCAAUUCUGGGCUUCUAAGUUCUGGUUACUUCAUAUUUUUCCUUUUGUUCCUCCAGCCCUAGAGGUGGUAGCUGCUUUCUGAAGUUAUUAUUUCUAGAUGACUUUUGGUUUUUCAGCCUUUGUAUUUUGCUUUUCAGCCCUCUAAUGCCUGUAUAACCAAUUUCCCUGUAAUAAAU
RNAcentral lists this long non-coding RNA (2406 nucleotides) under Homo sapiens (human). RNAcentral's name for it is "non-protein coding ZBED5-AS1:1". Lineage: Eukaryota; Metazoa; Chordata; Mammalia; Primates; Hominidae. The record is from RNAcentral.